GAUGAACGCUGGCGGCGUGCCUAACACAUGCAAGUCGAGCGAACAGACGAGGAGCUUGCUCCUCUGACGUGAGGCGAGGGGGGGUGUGAAACAUGUGGAUCACCCACCUAUAAGACGGGGAAAACUUCGGGAAACCGGCGCUAAUACGGGAGAAGCUACUGAACCGCGGGGGGGAAUAGUAAAAGACGGUGUUGGUGGCUGUAAUCGCUGGAUACGAGCCGGAUUAGCUAGUUGGGAAGGUAACGGCUUACCAAGGCAACGAUGCGUAGCCGACCGGAGAGGGUGAUCGGCCACACUGGAACUGAGACGCGGUCAAGACUACUACGGGAGGCAGCAGUAGGGAAUCUUCCGCAAUGGGCGAAAGCUUGACGGAGCAACGCGGCGUGAGUGAUGAAGGUCUUCGGAUCGUAAAGCUCUGUUAUUAGGGAAGAACAAAUGUGUAAGGAAAUAUGCACGUCUUGACGGUACCUAAUCAGAAAGCCACGGCUAACUACGUG
RNAcentral lists this ribosomal RNA (497 nucleotides) under uncultured bacterium. Its description in RNAcentral is "partial 16S ribosomal RNA". It matches the Rfam family "Bacterial small subunit ribosomal RNA", at positions 28 to 507 of the family's 1533-position model. The record is from RNAcentral.